GGUAACAUCAAAUCGUACCCCAAACCGACACAGGUGGUCAGGUAGAGAAUACCAAGGCGCUUGAGAGAACUCGGGUGAAGGAACUAGGCAAAAUGGUGCCGUAACUUCGGGAGAAGGCACGCUGAUAUGUAGGUGAAGUCCCUUGCGGAUGGAGCUGAAAUCAGUCGAAGAUACCAGCUGGCUGCAACUGUUUAUUAAAAACACAGCACUGUGCAAACACGAAAGUGGACGUAUACGGUGUGACGCCUGCCCGGUGCCGGAAGGUUAAUU
This 270-nucleotide ribosomal RNA is filed under the name Escherichia coli. RNAcentral's name for it is "partial 23S ribosomal RNA". It matches the Rfam family "Bacterial large subunit ribosomal RNA", at positions 1630 to 1882 of the family's 2925-position model. The record is from RNAcentral. Lineage: Bacteria; Pseudomonadati; Pseudomonadota; Gammaproteobacteria; Enterobacterales; Enterobacteriaceae.